Molecule: transfer RNA, 74 nt
Filed under: Methylobacterium nodulans ORS 2060
Lineage: Bacteria; Pseudomonadati; Pseudomonadota; Alphaproteobacteria; Hyphomicrobiales; Methylobacteriaceae
Rfam family: tRNA
About the family: Transfer RNA (tRNA) molecules are approximately 80 nucleotides in length. Their secondary structure includes four short double-helical elements and three loops (D, anti-codon, and T loops).
Source: Rfam by way of RNAcentral
GCGGACGUAGCUCAGUUGGUUAGAGUGCCGGCCUGUCACGCCGGAGGUCGCGGGUUCGAGCCCCGUCGUCCGCG